RNAcentral lists this unclassified non-coding RNA (125 nucleotides) under uncultured Xylariales. RNAcentral describes it as "sequence contains ITS1". Lineage: Eukaryota; Fungi; Ascomycota; Sordariomycetes; Xylariales. The record is from RNAcentral.
CAGAGUUGUAAAACUCCCAACCCAUGUGAACAUACCUGUUGCCUCGGCGGCCUACCCUGUAGUCCGCCGACGGACUACUUAAAACUCUGUUUUAAUGUGUCUCUGAGUAAAAUCAUAAUAAGUUA